This 465-nucleotide ribosomal RNA is filed under the name Vreelandella stevensii. RNAcentral describes it as "partial 16S ribosomal RNA". It matches the Rfam family "Bacterial small subunit ribosomal RNA", at positions 338 to 795 of the family's 1533-position model. The record is from RNAcentral. Lineage: Bacteria; Pseudomonadati; Pseudomonadota; Gammaproteobacteria; Oceanospirillales; Halomonadaceae.
UCUACGGGUGGCAGCAGUGGGGAAUAUUGGACAAUGGGCGAAAGCCUGAUCCAGCCAUGCCGCGUGUGUGAAGAAGGCCUUCGGGUUGUAAAGCACUUUCAGUGGGGAAGAAAGCCUUGGGGCUAAUACCCUCGAGGAAGGACAUCACCCACAGAAGAAGCACCGGCUAACUCCGUGCCAGCAGCCGCGGUAAUACGGAGGGUGCGAGCGUUAAUCGGAAUUACUGGGCGUAAAGCGCGCGUAGGCGGUCUGAUAAGCCGGUUGUGAAAGCCCCGGGCUCAACCUGGGAACGGCAUCCGGAACUGUCAGGCUAGAGUGCAGGAGAGGAAGGUAGAAUACGCGGUGUAGCGGUGAAAUGCGUAGAGAUCGGGAGGAAUACCAGUGGCGAAGGCGGCCUACUGGACUGACACUGACGCUGAGGUGCGAAAGCGUGGGUAGCAAACAGGAUUAGAUACCCUAGUAGUC